Molecule: long non-coding RNA, 2059 nt
Filed under: Olea europaea subsp. europaea
Lineage: Eukaryota; Viridiplantae; Streptophyta; Magnoliopsida; Lamiales; Oleaceae
Source: RNAcentral
UAACACCAAUGGUGGCGCAGAUCUGAUGCACUUUGCGCCAUCCAACCCUUAAGAUCCGCAACCAACGGUGCGAAAGUCUGGGAAAUGGAACUCGUCGGAGUGCAAGGUAGUCAUUGCCACUUGCAAAACUGUAAUUGUCAAAGGCCGCCGACAAGACAAAUGCUUCUCCACAAAAGGAUGAUAAAGUAUCGCAAAAAUGUUUAACAAGUCAGCGGGAAAACACUGGACUAUAUCGCAAAUGAAGAACUCCUAUUUGAACUGUUGCAAUGCACAAGAAUUGAGUACCUCUCAAGGACCAAUACAAUCGUCGCCCCUGAGCAUUUUGGGAAGCAAAAAUCAUGGUACUGGAUUUUUCAAGUUCAGUUUUGAGAAAGCGUUACAACUCUACUUUCAGUCCACAACUGCACAUCGAUAAUAUAAUUUUGAAUUAAAACCAGUUAAAUGUAUGCAUGUGCUCACCAAUCACAUUUGAAACGAUUUACUCGCUCCUGAACUAUCAUUGAAUUGCAGAUGCCGUCACUGUAGUAACUUGUUUCUUAGUCUCAAGCUUAUUUCUUUUCUUCUUAAUUGACCUUCUUUUCAUGAAUGGUUUACUAGGAGUGAAAAUUUCAAACAAGAAAAUUAAUUUAAUUUAACCAUUGUGGUUUUAUAUAUUACUCAUAAGCAAGAAACUUGGGGAUUUUCUUCAUUUACGAUAAAGUUUUUUGCUUUUCAGAGGGUUUUCGCAAACCUCUACAUUUUCCCAAAGAAGAUAACUGGUUGUGAUGUUUUUUCUACUUGAGUUUUUGGGCUGGUAUUCCUUGAGUGUGAUUCGGGAUUAUUAGCUUAUGACAAAUACUUCUAAAUUUUGCGUUUGAUUUUAAUUUCAACAUACUAACGUGCUGUUGCUAUGGUGGUAUAUAUACACAAUAGAUGAUAUUUCUAUAUCAAUUAAUUUUGUGAUUCUUGUCUUCUCGUGGAUGAGGUCUUGAUGACAAUUAACCUACUCCGGUUGUAAACUUAAAGGUUAUAGGAAGUUAGUAUGAAGAAAAAUUGAGUACAAGAUAAAAAAAAUUCCAUUAAUUUUACAAAUAUAUUCAUCUACAAAUAAGUGCAAAUACUAGCAUCAUAACAUGAUUUAGAUUAAUAGAAAGAUGUUUUUGCUGCCAAUUUAUGUAUGAGUUCUUUGCUGUUAAUUGAAUUCGAUUGAGGUUUCCAUCAUGUUUCGACGUUCAUGCAGUCAUGCACAUAAUUUAUUUAUUUAUUUUUGCAUCAAAGUUCAUUUACCGUCUUUUUUGUGCAUUCAAGAUAACCCGAAAUAUAUGAAGUACAAGCGUUAGACUACAACGAGAUUUACAACACGUAUGGAAAAUUGUACGACGACGCAACGAAGUACGUGUUGUCCCCAACAAAGCUAUCAUAUAGUGGUUUCAACCUGAGUACAGACAGUGACAAAUAGGACGGAGGCGAUAAGUUGCCCAUCAACGUGAAGGGAACCAAUUAUAGUGGAAGUCCAAGCAAAGAAAGAGGAAACUCUUCCAUGAAUAUAUCCAGGAAAUGAAGUGGUGAUAAACGAAAAGGCAAACAACGGAGAGAUAAAUAAAAGAGGAAAAGGUACAGUGCGCGAGAUGUUUUUGCAUCACUUGAGCAGAUGGUUAGUGUUAAAACAAUCUUGCCUCAAUUGCGAGAUCAUAUCAUAAUUGAGGAAUGAUGGUUGUCGAGUACGUUGACAAACUUCUAUCAUUUAUGCAUGUGAAAGAGGGUGAUGUGCUCCACCUGUUCGCCCUGUGGUUCUUUCGCGACAAAGAUAAUCACGAUUCAUAUUGUACUACCAAGACACCAUUUCUGCGCUUCAAGUUUGUGGAGUCCGCUUCAAGCGAGACAAUAUAUCGCUUUAGCGAAAGGGGUGAUUUGUACAGUAUUAGGGUACUGUGAUCAGCAGUUUUUUCUCUCUUUUAUUUAUAUUACUAGUGUACUAGAGCUGUAUCUGAAUUCUCCUGUGAGAAAUUUUCUGUGACACAUGUGAAACUAGCCUAUUUUCAUGGUUAUGAUUUGUAUUUUUACUAUUGUCAUAUUCCUU